CAGUAUGUGAUGAUGACUUACCAGAGCCUGACGAAACUUUUAUUUUUCACUUAACAUUACAGAAACCUUCAGCAAAUGUGAAGCUUGGAUGGCCAAGGACUGUUACUGUGACAAUAUUAUCAAAUGACAAUGCAUUUGGAAUUAUUUCAUUUAAUAUGCUUCCCUCAAUCGCAGUGAGUGAGCCCAAGGACAGAAAUGAGUCUAUGCCUCUUACUCUCAUCAGGGAAAAGGGGACCUAUGGAAUGGUCAUGGUGACUUUUGAGGUAGAGGGUGGCCCAAAUCCCCCUGAUGAAGAUUUGAGUCCAGUUAAAGGAAAUAUCACCUUUCCCCCUGGCAAAGCAACAGUAAUUUAUAACUUGACAGUACUCGAUGACGAGGUACCAGAAAAUGAUGAAAUAUUUUUAAUUCAACUGAAAAGUGUAGAAGGAGGAGCUGAGAUUAACACCUCUAGGAAUUCCAUUGAGAUCAUCAUUAAGAAAAAUGAUAGUCCCGUGAGAUUCCUUCAGAGUAUUUAUUUGGUUCCUGAGGAAGACCACAUACUCAUAAUUCCAGUAGUUCGUGGAAAGGACAACAAUGGAAAUCUGAUUGGAUCUGAUGAAUAUGAGGUUUCAAUCAGUUAUGCUGUCACGACUGGGAAUUCCACAGCACAUGCCCAGCAAAAUCUGGACUUCAUUGAUCUUCAGCCAAACACAACUGUUGUUUUUCCACCUUUUAUUCAUGAAUCUCACUUGAAAUUUCAAAUAGUUGAUGACACCAUACCGGAGAUUGCUGAAUCGUUUCACAUUAUGUUACUAAAAGAUACCUUACAGGGAGAUGCUGUGCUAAUAAGCCCUUCUGUUGUACAAGUCACCAUUAAGCCAAAUGAUAAACCUUAUGGAGUCCUUUCAUUCAACAGUGUUUUGUUUGAAAGGACAGUUAUAAUUGAUGAAGAUAGAAUAUCAAGAUAUGAAGAAAUCACAGUGGUUAGAAAUGGAGGAACCCAUGGGAAUGUCUCUGCGAAUUGGGUGUUGACACGGAACAGCACUGAUCCCUCACCAGUAACAGCAGAUAUCAGACCGAGCUCUGGAGUUCUCCAUUUUGCACAAGGGCAGAUGUUGGCAACAAUUCCUCUUACUGUGGUUGAUGAUGAUCUUCCAGAAGAGGCAGAAGCUUAUCUACUUCAAAUUCUGCCUCAUACAAUACGAGGAGGUGCAGAAGUGAGCGAGCCAGCGGAGGUAUAACCCUUGUUAUGCUUUAUGCUUGUUAAUAUUUCUGUGCUGUACAAGAACCAAAGAAUUUGGUCAUACACAUCAACUUUAUGUUUAGUUUGAAGGGACAGGAAAAACACUGGCUUUGCAAAUGAUAGUUUUCUUACUCAGUAUUCCUUCUGAAAAUAAAUAUUUUACCCUCUAAAAAAUUCCACAAACUGUGAUUUAGGAAUAUUUCCAAAUCUGUUUUUGGUUCAUCUUUUGCUC
RNAcentral lists this small RNA (1454 nucleotides) under Pan troglodytes (chimpanzee). RNAcentral's name for it is "retained intron". The record is from RNAcentral. Lineage: Eukaryota; Metazoa; Chordata; Mammalia; Primates; Hominidae.